RNAcentral lists this ribosomal RNA (625 nucleotides) under uncultured bacterium. RNAcentral describes it as "bacterial SSU rRNA". It matches the Rfam family "Bacterial small subunit ribosomal RNA", at positions 35 to 653 of the family's 1533-position model. The record is from RNAcentral.
GCUGGCGGCGUGCUUAACACAUGCAAGUCGAACGAGAAAGUACCUUCGGGUGCGAGUAGAGUGGCGCACGGGUGAGUAAUGCAUAGGAACGUACCUUCGGGAGGGGGAUAACCACAGGAAACUGUGGCUAAUACCGCGUAAUAACGAAAGUUCAAAGGUGGCCUAUCCUUGGAAGCUACCGCCUGAAGAUCGGCCUAUGUCCCAUUAGCUUGUUGGUGAGGUAACGGCUCACCAAGGCAACGAUGGGUAGCUGGUCUGAGAGGAUGAUCAGCCACACUGGGACUGAGACACGGCCCAGACUCCUACGGGAGGCAGCAGUGGGGAAUUUUGCACAAUGGGCGCAAGCCUGAUGCAGCAACGCCGCGUGAGUGAAGAAGGCCCUCGGGUCGUAAAGCUCUUCCGAUUGGGAAGCAGGGAUCCUGUAAAAAUAUUGCAGGGUCUUGACGGUACCUAAAGAAGAAGCACCGGCUAACUCCGUGCCAGCAGCCGCGGUAAUACGGAGGGUGCAAGCGUUGUUCGGAUUGACUGGGCGUAAAGCGCACGUAGGCGGAUUAGUAUGUCGAUUGUGAAAGCCCAGAGCUUAACUUUGGAAUUGCAGUCGAAACUGCUAGUCUUGAAUACCUGA